GGCGUGCUAUACAUGCAGUCGAGCGGACCGACGGGAGCUUGCUCCCUUAGGUCAGCGGCGGACGGGUGAGUAACACGUGGGUAACCUGCCUGUAAGACUGGGAUAACUCCGGGAAACCGGGGCUAAUACCGGAUGCUUGAUUGAACCGCAUGGUUCAAUCAUAAAAGGUGGCUUUUAGCUACCACUUACAGAUGGACCCGCGGCGCAUUAGCUAGUUGGUGAGGUAACGGCUCACCAAGGCGACGAUGCGUAGCCGACCUGAGAGGGUGAUCGGCCACACUGGGACUGAAACACGGCCCAGACUCCUACGGGAGGCAGCAGUAGGGAAUCUUCCGCAAUGGACGAAAGUCUGACGGAGCAACGCCGCGUGAGUGAUGAAGGUUUUCGGAUCGUAAAACUCUGUUGUUAGGGAAGAACAAGUACCGUUCGAAUAGGGCGGUACCUUGACGGUACCUAACCAGAAAGCCACGGCUAACUACGUGCCAGCAGCCGCGGUAAUACGUAGGUGGCAAGCGUUGUCCGGAAUUAUUGGGCGUAAAGCGCGCGCAGGCGGUUUCUUAAGUCUGAUGUGAAAGCCCCCGGCUCAACCGGGGAGGGUCAUUGGAAACUGGGGAACUUGAGUGCAGAAGAGGAGAGUGGAAUUCCACGUGUAGCGGUGAAAUGCGUAGAGAUGUGGAGGAACACCAGUGGCGAAGGCGACUCUCUGGUCUGUAACUGACGCUGAGGCGCGAAAGCGUGGGGAGCGAACAGGAUUAGAUACCCUGGUAGUCCACGCCGUAAACGAUGAGUGCUAAGUGUUAGAGGGUUUCCGCCCUUUAGUGCUGCAGCAAACGCAUUAAGCACUCCGCCUGGGGAGUACGGUCGCAAGACUGAAACUCAA
This 880-nucleotide ribosomal RNA is filed under the name Bacillus licheniformis. RNAcentral's name for it is "bacterial SSU rRNA". It matches the Rfam family "Bacterial small subunit ribosomal RNA", at positions 41 to 904 of the family's 1533-position model. Lineage: Bacteria; Bacillati; Bacillota; Bacilli; Caryophanales; Bacillaceae. The record is from RNAcentral.